UACAGAGGUCCCAAGCGUUGUUCGGAUUCAUUGGGCGUAAAGGGUGCGUAGGUGGCGCCGUAAGUGGGGUGUGAAAUUUCGGAGCUUAACUCCGAAACUGCAUUCCAUACUGCGGUGCUUGAGGACUGGAGAGGAGACUGGAAUUUACGGUGUAGCAGUGAAAUGCGUAGAGAUCGUAAGGAAGACCAGUGGCGAAGGCGGGUCUCGGGACAGUUCCUGACACUGAGGCACGAAGGCCAGGGGAGCAAACGGG
This 253-nucleotide ribosomal RNA is filed under the name uncultured bacterium. RNAcentral describes it as "partial 16S ribosomal RNA". It matches the Rfam family "Bacterial small subunit ribosomal RNA", at positions 524 to 776 of the family's 1533-position model. The record is from RNAcentral.